Molecule: long non-coding RNA, 262 nt
Organism: Etheostoma cragini (Arkansas darter)
Lineage: Eukaryota; Metazoa; Chordata; Actinopteri; Perciformes; Percidae
Exons: 3
Source: RefSeq, a predicted model, not a curated record
UAUGACCAAUCAGUGACAGUAGCUAAGUUUCCACCCACUUGUCAAUCAAAUUAUGUGAAGUUCGGUAAAAAAAACUCAUGUGAAUAAAGCUGGUGAACGUGUGUUUCUAUCCAACGGCUUUAAAGCCGAUAAAACCGGUGGUGAUGACGUCACAUGUUGUUUCGCGAUCAAAUUGGCAUAUGAAAUUGAUUUUAGACAUUUUAAGGUGUUUCUGUUCAUUUUCGCACUGAAUCGCACAACAUACAAGCUAACAUUAGCGGAC